RNAcentral lists this ribosomal RNA (460 nucleotides) under uncultured bacterium. RNAcentral describes it as "partial 16S ribosomal RNA". It matches the Rfam family "Bacterial small subunit ribosomal RNA", at positions 338 to 795 of the family's 1533-position model. The record is from RNAcentral.
CCUACGCGAGGCAGCAGUGAGGAAUAUUGGUCAAUGGGCGGGAGCCUGAACCAGCCAAGUCGCGUGAGGGAAGACGGUCCUAUGGAUUGUAAACCUCUUUUGGCGGGGAGCAAUGCCGGGCACGCGUGCCCGGAGGGAGAGUACCCGCAGAAUAAGCAUGGGCAAACUCCGUGCCAGCAGCCGCGGUAAUACGGAGGAUGCGAGCGUUAUCCGGUUUUAUUGGGUUUAAGGGGUGCGUAGGCGGAUUUUUAAGUCAGUGUUAAAGUGUCCGGGUUAAACCCAGGCCUGCCGUUGAAACUGGGGAUCUUGAGUGGGCGAGAGGUAUGCGGAAUGCGUGGUGUAGCGGUGAAAUGCAUAGAUAUCACGCAGAACUCCGAUUGCGAAGGCAGCAUACCGGCGCCCGACUGACGCUGAGGCACGAAAGCGUGGGGAUCGAACAGGAUUAGAUACCCCUGUAGUC